CCUCUGCUACACCGCCGCCCGGCCUUUGCAUUCCAGCCUAAAGGAUGGAGCCCCCUACUCUUCCACCAUCCUGUUCACCUGGGCAGAGAAGGCUGCAGAAACAGUCAGCUGUGACAAGCCCUGCAAAGAUUCCCAGGAAUUCGGGAAGGACAUCACCUCCACCAGACUCCAUUGGUCCCAAGCUGACCCACGUUCAAGAGGAAAGGAAUUAGACUCUGUGUGUUGAUGGGCAUGACAAGGUCCCAUUGUACACAGCACAUGCAAUGGGAGCCGUGUCGCGGCCAUCUUUGAAAAGGGCAAUCUGCCACUCGAACCCUCUGCUCACCUGCAAAAUCGGAUCAGAUCAACCAGACCGCUUCAAGGAGCAGCCUGCAGAGAACAAUGCUUAACAUCCAUCAAAGUCACUUUUUCGACAGGCUUUCUCAUACUUCAUGGUUCACCCUUUCUGCUUCCAGAAGAGCCGCCGCAGCUGUAGCACACACCUCGAUGGCCACCCACCCACGAGAAGAGCCCUCGGUGACAGGGCCUUCCCAGCAGCUCACGGUCGCGGUGUUCACCCAGCUUUCUUCUGCAUUCAGGUGGCCUCACCUGGGGCAGAGGAUUAAGUCUAACGGGAGACUCAGAAUCAAAGUGAGGAAGGCUCAACACGAUGUCAUGGACAGAGAGUGUAAAUCGGUAACACCUUUAUCAAAGGGCGGCUCGGCCAAACGUAUCAAAAUGUAAUCUGCGCAUACUCUUUGACCCAGCAUUUCCCCCUUCUUAGAAUUUAGCCCAAGGAGAUAGUGGCCCAAAUGCAAGAGGGCACGUGCGUAAGCAGGUACGCACAGUGUUGUUCAUAAUGCGAAAAAUUGCAAACAACCUUCCCACCCACAAGCUAGUGAUAGAUUAGGCAGAUAAAUUGUGGUUCAUUAAUACUAAUCUUCAAAGAAAGAUGUAGAUCUGUACAGGCUUAUACGGAAAAAUCUUCAAAACAUAUGGUUAAGUGGGGGGGGGGGAAGUAUUGGAAAGGUACCUAUCAUAAAUCACAUUUAUAUAAAACUCUCUGUGUGCUUCAGCCCAAAGAGAGAUGUCUAGAAGAAGGGCCCCUCGGUGGUAGCAUUUGGUAUGAAUCUUGUUAAAAUAUUUACUAAUGAGAAGGAGGCUUAUCUUACACCUACUGUGUGCUAUGGAUUGUUGCAAAUCUCUUUCAUGCAUUAACCCGCUUUAGCCCCCCAACCACCCUGGUAAGUGGAUACUGUUAUUGUCUCCAUUUUAGGGGACAGGAAUACUGAGGCACAUGGAGGUCAAACAGUUUUCCCACCAUCACACAGCCAGUAAAUGGCGAAGAUGGGAGCCAAACCCAGGCGGUCAGCCUCCAGGGUCCGGGCUCUUACCCAUCGAGCUAUCCUACCACUCUGCAGUGACUUGAUAGAGCAUUUUUACCAAAACAAUAAAGCCCUUUUUUGAAGUCA
Long non-coding RNA from Canis lupus familiaris (dog), 1451 nucleotides. RefSeq lists it as uncharacterized. NCBI's taxonomy places the organism in Eukaryota, Metazoa, Chordata, Mammalia, Carnivora, Canidae. The record is from RefSeq and is a predicted model, not a curated record. The transcript has 2 exons.